UACGUAGGGGGCAAGCGUUAUCCGGAAUCAUUGGGCGUAAAGAGCGCGUAGGCGGUCCGGUAAGUCCGCUCUGAAAGUCCGGGGCUCAACCCCGGGAGGCGGGCGGAUACUGUCGGGCUAGAGUCCGGAAGAGGCGAGUGGAAUUCCUGGUGUAGCGGUGAAAUGCGCAGAUAUCAGGAGGAACACCAAUGGCGAAGGCAGCUCGCUGGGACGGUACUGACGCUGAGGCGCGAAAGCGUGGGGAGCAAACAGG
Molecule: ribosomal RNA, 253 nt
Filed under: uncultured bacterium
Lineage: Bacteria
Description: partial 16S ribosomal RNA
Rfam family: Bacterial small subunit ribosomal RNA
Source: RNAcentral